This 440-nucleotide ribosomal RNA is filed under the name uncultured bacterium. RNAcentral's name for it is "partial 16S ribosomal RNA". It matches the Rfam family "Bacterial small subunit ribosomal RNA", at positions 338 to 795 of the family's 1533-position model. The record is from RNAcentral.
CCUACGGGAGGCAGCAGUGGGGAAUAUUGCACAAUGGGGGAAACCCUGAUGCAGCGACGCCGCGUGAGUGAAGAAGUAUUUCGGUAUGUAAAGCUCUAUCAGCAGGGAAGAAAAUGACGGUACCUGAUUAAGAAGCUCCGGCUAACUACGGGCCAGCAGCCGCGGGAAUACGUAGGGGGCAAGCGUUAUCCGGAUUUACUGGGUGUAAAGGGAGCGUAGACGGCAGCACAAGUCUGGAGUGAAAUGCCGGGGCUUAACCCCGGAACUGCUUGGGAAACUGUGCAGCUAGAGUGCAGGAGAGGUAAGUGGAAUUCCUGGUGUAGCGGUGAAAUGCGUAGAUAUUAGGAGGAACACCAGUGGCGAAGGCAGCUUACUGGACUGUAACUGACGUUGAGGCUCGAAAGCGUGGGGAGCAAACAGGAUUAGAUACCCCAGUAGUC